This 273-nucleotide ribosomal RNA is filed under the name uncultured bacterium. RNAcentral describes it as "partial 16S ribosomal RNA". It matches the Rfam family "Bacterial small subunit ribosomal RNA", at positions 524 to 796 of the family's 1533-position model. The record is from RNAcentral.
GACGUAGGGCGCGAGCGUUGUCCGGAUUUAUUGGGCGUAAAGGGCUCGUAGGCGGCUUGUUGCGUCUGCCGUGAAAGGCCUCGGCUUAACCGGGGUUUUGCGGUGGAUACGGGCAGGCUUGAGGCAAUUAGGGGAGAUCGGAAUUCUACGUGUAGCGGUGAAAUGCGCAGAUAUGUGGAGGAACACCGGUGGCGAAGGCGGAUCUCUGGGAUUGUUCUGACGCUGAGGAGCGAAAGCGUGGGGAGCGAACAGGAUUAGAUACCCGCGUAGUCC